GCCGAAGUGGCGGAAUGGCAGACGCGACGGUCUCAAAAACCGUUGGGGGCAACUCCGUGUGGGUUCGACUCCCACCUUCGGCACCA
This 86-nucleotide transfer RNA is filed under the name Candidatus Altimarinota bacterium. RNAcentral describes it as "tRNA-Leu". It matches the Rfam family "tRNA". From Rfam's summary of the family: Transfer RNA (tRNA) molecules are approximately 80 nucleotides in length. Their secondary structure includes four short double-helical elements and three loops (D, anti-codon, and T loops). Further hydrogen bonds mediate the characteristic L-shaped molecular structure. tRNAs have two regions of fundamental functional importance: the anti-codon, which is responsible for specific mRNA codon recognition, and the 3' end, to which the tRNAs corresponding amino acid is attached (by aminoacyl-tRNA synthetases). tRNAs cope with the degeneracy of the genetic code in two manners: having more than one tRNA (with a specific anti-codon) for a particular amino acid; and 'wobble' base-pairing, i.e. permitting non-standard base-pairing at the 3rd anti-codon position. The record is from RNAcentral. Lineage: Bacteria; Candidatus Altimarinota.